This 179-nucleotide ribosomal RNA is filed under the name uncultured bacterium. Its description in RNAcentral is "partial 16S ribosomal RNA". It matches the Rfam family "Bacterial small subunit ribosomal RNA", at positions 524 to 701 of the family's 1533-position model. The record is from RNAcentral.
UACGAACUGUGCAAACGUUAUUCGGAAUCACUGGGCUUAAAGGGUGCGUAGGCGGAUUUGAAGGUCCGAUGUGAAAGCCCACGGCUCAACCGUGGAAUUGCGUCGGAAACCACAAAUCUUGAGGGAGUCAGAGGUAAGCGGAACUGAUGGUGGAGCGGUGAAAUGCGUAUGAUACUCGA